Molecule: transfer RNA, 73 nt
Filed under: Candidatus Dormiibacterota bacterium
Lineage: Bacteria; Bacillati; Candidatus Dormiibacterota
Description: tRNA-Arg
Rfam family: tRNA
About the family: Transfer RNA (tRNA) molecules are approximately 80 nucleotides in length. Their secondary structure includes four short double-helical elements and three loops (D, anti-codon, and T loops).
Source: RNAcentral
GCCCCCGUAGCUCAGCGGAUAGAGCAGCCGCCUUCUAAGCGGUUGGCCGCAGGUUCGAUUCCUGCCGGGGGCG